GGUUGACCUCGGAUCAGGUAGGAAGACCCGCUGAACUUAAGCAUAUCAAUAAGCGGAGGAAAAGAAACCAACAGGGAUUGCCCUAGUAACGGCGAGUGAAGCGGCAACAGCUCAAAUUUGAAAUCUGGCUUCGGCCCGAGUUGUAAUUUGUAGAGGAUGCUUUGGGCGCGGCUCUAACUGAGUUCCCUGGAACGGGACGCCACAGAGGGUGAGAGCCCCGUAUAGUUAGAUGCCUAGCCUAUGUAAAGCUCCUUCGACGAGUCGAGUAGUUUGGGAAUGCUGCUCAAAAUGGGAGGUAAAUUUCUUCUAAAGCUAAAUAUUGGCCAGAGACCGAUAGCGCACAAGUAGAGUGAUCGAAAGAUGAAAAGCACUUUGAAAAGAGGGUUAAAUAGCACGUGAAAUUGUUGAAAGGGAAGCGCUUGUGACCAGACUUGCGCCGGGCAGAUCAUCCGGUGUUCUCACCGGUGCACUCUGCCCGGCUCAGGCCAGCAUCGGUUCUCGUGGGGGGAUAAAGGUCCCGGGAACGUAGCUCCUCCGGGAGUGUUAUAGCCCGGGGCGUAAUGCCCUCGUGGGGACCGAGGUUCGCGCAUCUGCAAGGAUGCUGGCGUAAUGGUCAUCAGCGACCCGUCUUGAAACACGGACCAAGGAGUCAAGGUUUUGCGCGAGUGUUUGGGUGUAAAACCCGCACGCGUAAUGAAAGUGAACGUAGGUGAGAGCUUCGGCGCAUCAUCGACCGAUCCUGAUGUAUUCGGAUGGAUUUGAGUAAGAGCGUUAAGCCUUGGACCCGAAAGAUGGUGAACUAUGCUUGGAUAGGGUGAAGCCAGAGGAAACUCUGGUGGAGGCUCGCAGCGGUUCUGACGUGCAAAUCGAUCGUCAAAUCUGAGCAUGGGGGCGAAAGACUAAUCGAAC
Molecule: ribosomal RNA, 909 nt
Filed under: Trichocladium jilongense
Lineage: Eukaryota; Fungi; Ascomycota; Sordariomycetes; Sordariales; Chaetomiaceae
Description: eukaryotic LSU rRNA
Rfam family: Eukaryotic large subunit ribosomal RNA
Source: RNAcentral